CUCUUCUUUGCAAGAAAGCAUCAUUUUAGGGUAAGAGCCAUUUCUCAGAUGUUCACCUUACUUUCUGUAGUAAGGCUUCAACAUGCUUGUGACUGCCUAUAACCCUAUCUUCAUCUUUCAAGGCCUGUGGAUACUGAAAACAAAACAAUGAAAGAACAAGACCUCUGAUAGAUUUCAUGGGCUUCUUGGAGGACCAACGUCAGUCAAUGGAAGUGUGAUGACUUAUCAGAGGCUUCCUUGGUUGCAGUACAGAAGAUGCAAUGCCAGCAGUGCUUUUUCAGGAGCUCCCUCUGAAGAAGAUCAUGGCUCAGUUACCAUGGACACCAAGAAGCUAUGCAGCUUUUUAUUCUUUUUACUUCCUUCAUUAUGUGCCCUCCCAGGAAAUAUAUUUUCAUUAGUAACUAGGUUUUGAAACUUUUGCCAAGACACCAGCCUAACCUAUUGCUCUCUAAACAAAUACCUUCAGUAUCUAAUACAUAGGUAUAUGCCAGUCUGAGCCAACUGUGCUAUUAGGAAACUAAUAAAUACUCCUUUGCUUCCUAUUUAAUGAGAAAAAGCACGACAAUAUUGCUCAUGCCAGAUCAGGUUUUGAUUGGUAUGUGCUUAUCCUUCAUAAACAAAUGUAUUUUAUAUGAAAAACCACAGGGGAAAUAUUUUUAUUUAUUUUAUUAGUUGUACAAAAGCCAUGUUGGCAACUGAAGAACCAAUAAAAUAAAAUUGUCUCAUGUGGUUCUUAUUAUGGAAUCAAAUAGUAAUGUAAAAGGCAAGCACACACCAAUCAUAAUUCCAUCUGGCUGAAAGAACAGGAAAAUGUGGCUCCAUUUUCAUUAGGAAAAGGAGGCAUAUAUUUCAUAAUGUGUUCAAAUGUGGCUCUAAAGGUACUCCCAGUACACUACUGCAUUUUGUACCACUCAUGGGGUGCCAUAUCUACUGAUGCAGGUUAAUGUAAUCAAAGUGACUUGAAAGGAGAGGACUGCUGUUAGCCUUGCAUCUGCAUUAAUAGAGCACCAACAGAAGCUAGAGCAACAUUUCUUGGCAUUCUGGAAAGAAAUGCAUGUUGAACCAGUAAGCAAUAUGUAUAGCCCUUGCAAUAUACACUUGGCAUAUUUGCAGCAAGUAAGUUGCCAUUCAUGUAACCACCAAAAAUACAUUCCAGAAUGUUUACUCUUUUCAGUAAGCAGAUAAUACCAUUCAAGCUCUGGACUUAAAAGAUUGCAUGCAUAAAUAUUUUCUAAAUUCCUUUAGUGCUGUUUUUGGUUUAUCUUCAAGGAAAUAUAAGGGUAGCUAUUAUCAAUAGAAGGUAGGUAUUCAUUUGUAAGAGGUUGGGUCAGCAAGACACUGCUCUAUUGAAUCAUAUCUGGGACAACAUGGAGUGGUCAUUUGGGCCUCUGGGAAGUGUGGCAUGGAAGAGUAGUUCUUUAUUAAGAACAAGAAAGUAGCUAGCCCUGAGAAUAAAGGUUGAUUUGCUUUG
Molecule: long non-coding RNA, 1471 nt
Filed under: Homo sapiens (human)
Lineage: Eukaryota; Metazoa; Chordata; Mammalia; Primates; Hominidae
Description: non-protein coding lnc-CENPW-3:1
Source: RNAcentral